UACGUAGGGUGCGAGCGUUACUCGGAAUUACUGGGCGUAAAGUGUGCGCAGGCGGCCGCGCAAGUCGAGUGUGAAAGCCCCGGGCUUAACUUGGGAAUUGCGCUCGAAACUACUUGGCUGGAGUGUGGCAGAGGAAGGUGGAAUUCCAGGUGUAGCGGUGAAAUGCGUAGAUAUCUGGAGGAACACCGGUGGCGAAGGCGACAUCCUGGACCGGUAUUGACGCUGAGGCGCGAAAGCCAGGGGAGCAAACAGG
RNAcentral lists this ribosomal RNA (253 nucleotides) under uncultured bacterium. RNAcentral's name for it is "partial 16S ribosomal RNA". It matches the Rfam family "Bacterial small subunit ribosomal RNA", at positions 524 to 776 of the family's 1533-position model. The record is from RNAcentral.